Molecule: ribosomal RNA, 253 nt
Filed under: uncultured bacterium
Lineage: Bacteria
Description: partial 16S ribosomal RNA
Rfam family: Bacterial small subunit ribosomal RNA
Source: RNAcentral
UACGUAGGGUGCAAGCGUUAAUCGGAAUUACUGGGCGUAAAGCGUGCGCAGGCGGUUAUGUAAGACAGGUGUGAAAUCCCCGGGCUCAACCUGGGAACUGCAUCUGUGACUGCAUAGCUAGAGUACGGUAGAGGGGGAUGGAAUUCCGCGUGUAGCAGUGAAAUGCGUAGAUAUGCGGAAGAACACCGAUGGCGAAGGCAAUCCCCUGGACCUGUACUGACGCUCAUGCACGAAAGCGUGGGGAGCAAACAGG